Molecule: long non-coding RNA, 3327 nt
Organism: Homo sapiens (human)
Lineage: Eukaryota; Metazoa; Chordata; Mammalia; Primates; Hominidae
Source: Ensembl
AAAUGUAAGAGGGGCCUCAGAAGUGAAUACCUGUUUGACAUUCCAGAAGGAGCCUUCACUCUGUCAAUAUUCUUGGAAGAAUAUCAACCCUGAAUACCUAUCAUGUAUCCUUUACAGCUUCAAUGGUAUAGGGUCUACAUAUCUUCAGGAAAAUAUCUUUGUAAAUCUAAAUAUUAAGGUUUUCUUUGGUCUUUCUCAUUCUUUGAACUUCACUUUUAAAACAUCUUUAUUGGAGUAAAUUAUGGACAAAAUUAAAUGGCAUAUUUAAUUUACAAAUACAUAUAGUUUUAUAAUGAAAUAAAAUAUAUUUAAUUUCUCUUUCUCUCUACCUAUCUCUGAAAUCUUUUUAUAAAAAUUAGCAGUUUCUUCAUCCACUUAGUCCUACCCUAUGUUCUGCUCACUGGGACAUCUCUUUAAAAAUACUUUGAUUGUUUUUUUCUGGGAUUUUACUCUACAUUUUAAAAUGGUAUGCUUAUUCUGCUAUCUCUUGGUUUAUUGAUACUGGAUACCACCUAUUGGCCUCCUGUUACGGUGAAUAAGGACUUAGGUGUUUUUUAUAUAUCUGCUCCAUUUUACCUUACCCUAAGUUACCAAAAAUACUGUUUUAUAAUACUUGUAACAUUAAUAAUCAAGGUUUACAUUUUUAUGAUCAGACAUACAGUGUUCAUUACAUAGCUGAAUAGUGUAUGAAGAUUACAUUUCCAUGCCUUUGGGUUUUUUUUAUUACCCAAAGUAAUGAAUUACUGCAUUUUUUACUAACAUUAUGUUCUGAAUGUCUAUCCAAAUUUUCCCCCUAAGCCCCAUUUACAUCUUCCAAAUAUCAAUCAGCACUUCCUCUUUUAUGCUGGAAACCUAUCUUGGACCUGUAUCUCUGGCUCACAUUCAGAUCUGUUGCUCUCCAGAUCUUACACAGCUGUCAUCCUGAGGCUGCCCUUGACCACAUUUCCUGUUGGAUUCCCUGUUUCUGGAUUCUAUGACCUCACUUCUGAAUUUUCUUCUGUUUUGCACAUUCUCCAGUAGUUUCCAAGAAAGUGUGUAUGUGACAUAAAUCACUGAGUUUCUGAAUGCUAAAAAUUUUGUUCUUUCUUCCCACUUGAUUGAUAGUCUGACAGAAUAUUCUAGAUUGAAAAGAAUUUUCUCUCAAAAUGUAAAGGCUUUUCUUCAUUUCUUCUGUUAGGGGGAGUCCUAUGCCUAGUGACUCUGCUCUGCCAGUUACCACUAUUCCUUCUGUUUACAUUUUUCAAAAAUUCGCUAAAAUAACCUAUUCUCUAAUGCCUUCUCUUUUUUUCCUCUUUGAUUUUGUGGGUUUAUAAAUUUUUAUUUUCAAUUUUAGGGGGUUUCAAGCUGGAAAAAAAAUCAAUACAUGUGACCAUCCAUCACCUUAUUCAAAAGUAAGAUUUUAUUUUUUUUGCUGCCUGACUAAAUUGGCAAAAUGAUAGUAAUAAGGUGGCAGCAAGGUAAAAACUUCUUUUUAAUGAUGUACCUAAAUAACUGCACAAACUAACAAUGACGAAACAGAUAAGUUACAGGGCUGGUGCAAAUGGACAUUACCCAUUUGGUAUUGGAAAAAUUAUAGAGAUGUUUUUCACAAACAGAAGAUAAUCUCUUUGUUUUUUCUGGGGCAGAAAGAAUAACUGAGGAAAUAAAAAAUAAAGAAUUAUAACAGAAAGUCCAUUUAGAUAGUAGGAAGAAUCAAGUUUGAUCUAGAUCUCAAGGGAGUCUGUGUAUUCUAAAAUGCAUGAGUCAUUUUCAUUUUUUAAUUUUAGCAUUAAUUUUGUGUUUUCAUCAGUUACUUCAUUUUCCUUUGAAGGUGUGAUAUUCUGUCAAGUUCUAUAACACGGAUGCUGGUUUUCUACUGCAAUUUGCUUUUAAAAUGUCCAGUGGAAAGAAAUGCUAAAGAACGUUAUAAUGAGUGCUUUGUCUUAGUGAUGUUUAAAAGAACCUUGCCUCUCAAAGAAACUGCUUAAAACAAGCCUGUGGAGCAAAUGGUCAUGCAACUUUAAAAUGCUGCCAGUAAAAUAGCUAAGUAAUCUCAAGAAACCCAUCUGAAUGCUAACCACCUAGACCAGAAAACUCAAUCCAAACUCCAAUAAUCAACUGCUUCGUGAAAGAGCCAGCUGCUGAAAAGAUGUUCUUCCUACUGCUGCUAAGAAAGAAAAAAUAACUGUGCAUACUCUAUGUACACCAUAUUCAACACGUGCUUUUACAGCCAGAAGAGAACUGAAGAAAUCAGUGGAGUGUGAUAAAUAUCAGUGUGUCCAAAGAAAUCAGUUUGUGAAAAUUUCAUUAUUUUUUUAAUUUUCCCCUCUCAACGGCUGCUUAGAUUGUUUUACAGUCACUCUGAUUUAGCAAGAGAAUAUUGACUGGAAGGGAAAAUAUUUUUUAAUGCUGUGAAUAAGCAAAUUGUCAAUUUUGCUUCUAACACUAAAUGUCUUAGAGUUUAAUAUUAAAUAUAGUUAAGAAAUUUUAGAAAAAUAAACCUGAGACUAAAAUGAUAAAGAAAAGAAACAAAUAUAUUAUUGAUACCAUUUUGUAUGUUUAUUAUUGAUCACCCAAAUCAUUCACCCCAUACCUGUGCCUUUCUGUCAUCUGGAACAAUGUUACCCUUAAUGAUGUUAUUUUAACAGACAGAAUGAUGACAGUUUAAUCUUGAUAUGGGAGUAGGCCUAUCCAGUUAACUCUGGUUUCUCAACUCACUCACCUCUAACUCUUACAGAAGAUAUUUAAGCAUAAUCCUAAUCUUUUACCACUAUUCCACUCACUUAUCCUCACUACUUUGUCACUCUUGAGCUCUUUCCUGUCUCCACUAUCCAUGCUCAAGUAGGUCUUGGCUACCUUUCUGCUCCAAGAAGAGAUGAUCAUUGUCAGGAAAAGUCACUGUAGCCUCCUUACAUACAAGCCUCCUUACAUACAUUUCAAGUUAGUGACCUGGGUCCUCUGAUGUUCUGCCCUAAUUUUAGCUAUCAAACAUCUUCCCUAAGAAAAACUUUCUAUGUGAAUAAAAUUCAUCCUUUUGAAUUAAUUAAGUUCAUAGGUGUCAUUGUUACUUAACUCAAGAUUAUGAAAACCUCAGCACCAAAGCAUACAUUCUCACCAAAUUUCAACUCUCAGCUCUAUUGCAUGCAACACACUCAAACAUCCCAAUAUUUGUAGGUAAGGAGACAUCCAUAUCAUAUUUCAUAUCCUAAUAUUGGAGAUUUGUGUUAGUUAUGUGUGAGUACCUAUAUAUAAUUCCAAAACUUGGCAUUAUUUUCCUACAUACACCAAGAAUUUAAUUUGUUUAUUUUUUUGCAAUUUAUAAAUGAUUGACCCAAUAUAUAAAUAUAU